This 805-nucleotide long non-coding RNA is filed under the name Capsicum annuum. Its description in RNAcentral is "long non-coding RNA (CANN_LNC009337)". Lineage: Eukaryota; Viridiplantae; Streptophyta; Magnoliopsida; Solanales; Solanaceae. The record is from RNAcentral.
UGUGAUAUCUCGUGACUUGAGCCGGGGGUCUUUCGGAAACAGCCUUUCUACUUCAUCAGAGGUAGAGGUAUAUGUGUUUGUGUGAUAUCUCGUGACUUGAGCCGGGGGUCUUUCGGAAACAGCCUUUCUACUUCAUCAGAGGUAGAGGUAUGGACUGCGUACAUCUUACCCCCCCCAGACCCCACUAAGUGGGAAUACACUGGGUUUGUUGUUGUUGUUGUUGUAAUUCACUUCUCAAGUGACCACACUUAACUCAAAACACAAGUUCACAUUUCAAGUAUCUACACUUAAGCAUUUUGAAGUCACUAAUUCACUUAUCAAAUGACCACACUUUACUAAAUUCAAAACACAAGUUCACCUUUCAAGUAACUACACUUAAACAUUUUGAAGUCACUAAUUCACUUCUCAAGUGACCACACUUUAGUAAAUUUAAAACACAAGUUCACAUUUCAAGUACCUACACUUGUUUAUUUUCAAGUUGCUAAUUCACUUAUCAAGUGAUCACACUUAACUAAAAUGCAAAACACAAGUUCACCUUUCAAGAACCUAUACUUAAAUAUUUCCGAGUCACUAAUUCAUUUAUCAAGUGACCACACUUUAGUAAAUUCAAAACACAAGUUCACAUUUCAAGUACCUACACUUAAAUAUUUCCGAGUCACUAAUUCAUUUAUCAAGUGACCACACUUUAGUAAAUUCAAAACACAAGUUCACAUUUCAAAUACCUACACUAAAACAUUUUCGAGUCGCUAAUUCACCUAUCAAGUGACCACACUUAACUAAAAUCAAAACAAAAUUUCACCUUUCA